Molecule: long non-coding RNA, 321 nt
Filed under: Saimiri boliviensis boliviensis (Bolivian squirrel monkey)
Lineage: Eukaryota; Metazoa; Chordata; Mammalia; Primates; Cebidae
Description: lncRNA (ENSSBOG00000036425.1)
Source: RNAcentral
AACAUCCCAAACAAAUUAAGCUUCCUUCUUUUCCUUUUACUUACAGGUGUUUUUGGGGAGAAGUGCUAAGAAAGACUCCCUACUCUUAGUGAGAAGACUGUAAUACUGACAUGGGUUUGCCAUCUUGUGUAUGCUGCAAACUUUGAAGCAGGAAACAGCAUAGAUUUGCCACAGAUAAUGGAAGGUAAGUGAUUGAUAUUGACAGAUUUCAAGGAUGAUGGCCCUUCCAGUCAGGACCAGUGGACCACGUAAUACUUGGAUCAGAUAAUUGCCAAAUGCAGUGAACACUUUUCAAUUCUUAUUUGAUCUCCAGACAUAGCG